GUUUGACCUCAAAUCAGGUAGGAUUACCCGCUGAACUUAAGCAUAUCAAUAAG
Molecule: ribosomal RNA, 53 nt
Filed under: Debaryomyces hansenii
Lineage: Eukaryota; Fungi; Ascomycota; Pichiomycetes; Serinales; Debaryomycetaceae
Description: partial 28S ribosomal RNA
Source: RNAcentral